CCUACGGGAGGCAGCAGUAGGGAAUCUUCCGCAAUGGACGAAAGUCUGACGGAGCAACGCCGCGUGAACGAUGAAGGCCUUCGGGUCGUAAAGUUCUGUUGUUAGGGAAGAACAAGUGUUAGUUGAAUAAGCUGGCACCUUGACGGUACCUAACCAGAAAGCCACGGCUAACUACGUGCCAGCAGCCGCGGUAAUACGUAGGUGGCAAGCGUUGUCCGGAAUUAUUGGGCGUAAAGCGCGCGCAGGCGGUUUCUUAAGUCUGAUGUGAAAGCCCCCGGCUCAACCGGGGAGGGUCAUUGGAAACUGGGAAACUUGAGUGCAGAAGAGGAAAGUGGAAUUCCAAGUGUAGCGGUGAAAUGCGUAGAGAUUUGGAGGAACACCAGUGGCGAAGGCGACUUUCUGGUCUGUAACUGACGCUGAGGCGCGAAAGCGUGGGGAGCAAACAGGAUUAGAUACCCUGGUAGUCCACGCUGUAAACGAUGAGUGCUAAGUGUUAGAGGGUUUCCGCCCUUUAGUGCUGAAGUUAACGCAUUAAGCACUCCGCCUGGGGAGUACGUCGCGAGACNGAACUACAAGAAGUAGACGCGNGAGAGUGCGAGCGACGACGAGGGAGAGG
Molecule: ribosomal RNA, 616 nt
Filed under: uncultured bacterium
Lineage: Bacteria
Description: bacterial SSU rRNA
Rfam family: Bacterial small subunit ribosomal RNA
Source: RNAcentral